AUGAACGCUGGCGGCGUGCCUCAUACAUGCAAGUCGAGCGAACAGACGAGGAGCUUGCUCCUCUGACGUUAGCGGCGGACGGGUGAGUAACACGUGGAUAACCUACCUAUAAGACUGGGAUAACUUCGGGAAACCGGAGCUAAUACCGGAUAAUAUAUUGAACCGCAUGGUUCAAUAGUGAAAGACGGUUUUGCUGUCACUUAUAGAUGGAUCCGCGCCGCAUUAGCUAGUUGGUAAGUUAACGGCUUACCAAGGCAACGAUGCGUAGCCGACCUGAGAGGGUGAUCGGCCACACUGGAACUGAGACACGGUCCAGACUCCUACGGGAGGCAGCAGUAGGGAAUCUUCCGCAAUGGGCGAAAGCCUGACGGAGCAACGCCGCGUGAGUGAUGAAGGUCUUCGGAUCGUAAAACUCUGUUAUUAGGGAAGAACAAAUGUGUAAGUAACUAUGCACGUCUUGACGGUACCUAAUCAGAAAGCCACGGCUAACUACGUG
RNAcentral lists this ribosomal RNA (496 nucleotides) under uncultured bacterium. Its description in RNAcentral is "partial 16S ribosomal RNA". It matches the Rfam family "Bacterial small subunit ribosomal RNA", at positions 29 to 507 of the family's 1533-position model. The record is from RNAcentral.